This 437-nucleotide ribosomal RNA is filed under the name uncultured Desulfobulbus sp. Its description in RNAcentral is "bacterial SSU rRNA". It matches the Rfam family "Bacterial small subunit ribosomal RNA", at positions 950 to 1382 of the family's 1533-position model. Lineage: Bacteria; Pseudomonadati; Thermodesulfobacteriota; Desulfobulbia; Desulfobulbales; Desulfobulbaceae. The record is from RNAcentral.
UUCGAUGCAACGCGAAGAACCUUACCUGGUCUUGACAUCCCGGAGACCCUUAGGAAACUAGGGGUGCUUCCAUCUGGAAGAAUCUGGAGACAGGUGCUGCAUGGCUGUCGUCAGCUCGUGUCGUGAGAUGUUGGGUUAAGUCCCGCAACGAGCGCAACCCUUGCCUUUAGUUGCCAGCAGUUCGGCUGGGCACUCUAAAGGGACUGCCGGUGUUAAACCGGAGGAAGAUGGGGAUGACGUCAAGUCCUCAUGGCCUUUAUGACCAGGGCUACACACGUACUACAAUGGCCGAUACAAAGGGCAGCGACACUGCGAGGUGAAGCCAAUCCCGUAAAAUCGGUCUCAGUCCGGAUUGGAGUCUGCAACUCGACUCCAUGAAGUUGGAAUCGCUAGUAAUCGUGGAUCAGCAUGCCACGGUGAAUACGUUCCCGGGCCUU